RNAcentral lists this ribosomal RNA (253 nucleotides) under uncultured bacterium. Its description in RNAcentral is "partial 16S ribosomal RNA". It matches the Rfam family "Archaeal small subunit ribosomal RNA", at positions 474 to 727 of the family's 1478-position model. The record is from RNAcentral.
UACCAGCACCCCGAGUGGUCGGGACGUUUAUUGGGCCUAAAGCAUCCGUAGCCGGUUCUACAAGUCUUCCGUUAAAUCCACCUGCUUAACAGAUGGGCUGCGGAAGAUACUAUAGAGCUAGGAGGCGGGAGAGGCAAGCGGUACUCGAUGGGUAGGGGUAAAACCCUCUGAUCCAUUGAAGACCACCAGUGGCGAAGGCGGCUUGCCAAUACGCGCUCGACGGUGAGGGAUGAAAGCUGGGGGAGCAAACCGG